GUGCUGCAAUCCGUAAGGRAUCCAACAGAACCGAUACGAACGUCKUUCGCACGUAGCGUUGAACGCUUUGUUCCGAGGGGCAAAUAGAGGUCGAGGCCUCKUGCCCACAACAUGUUCCGCAUCYGAGAUUUSGAGCAUUKCUUCUUGGGUGGGCCACACGAGCGCAMKYGCGCACGCACACACACGAGUGCCAACCACGACGCRUGCUAUGAGUUCCAACCCGCACCGCGACACUGGUGGGUGACGCAGAGCAAAUGAAAAARRRSCCGAUUUUGCCGACGUAUGCCUUAAAGAUAGGUAUCGAGCACAGGAGGCCG
RNAcentral lists this unclassified non-coding RNA (317 nucleotides) under Prostanthera sp. Minyon Falls (J.B.Williams NE61356). RNAcentral describes it as "partial external transcribed spacer". The record is from RNAcentral. Lineage: Eukaryota; Viridiplantae; Streptophyta; Magnoliopsida; Lamiales; Lamiaceae.